Molecule: ribosomal RNA, 373 nt
Filed under: uncultured bacterium
Lineage: Bacteria
Description: bacterial SSU rRNA
Rfam family: Bacterial small subunit ribosomal RNA
Source: RNAcentral
ACGUAGGAGGCGAGCGUUGUCCGGAUUUACUGGGCGUAAAGCGCGCGCAGGCGGUCACGCAGGUCAUCUGUGAAAGCACUCGGCUCAACCGGGAUGAUGCGGGUGAAACCGCGUGACUGGAGGGUGGGAGAGGUCGGUGGAAUUCCCGGUGUAGUGGUGAAAUGCGUAGAUAUCGGGAGGAACACCCGUAGCGAAGGCGGCCGACUGGACCAUCCCUGACGCUGAGGCGCGAAGGCCAGGGGAGCGAACGGGAUUAGAUACCCCGGUAGUCCUGGCAGUAAACGAUGUCGACUGGUCGUCGGGGGGCUCGACCCCCUCGGCGGCGGAGCUAACGCGGGAAGUCGACCGCCUGGGGAGUACGGCCGCAAGGCUA